This 298-nucleotide unclassified non-coding RNA is filed under the name uncultured Zasmidium. RNAcentral describes it as "sequence contains ITS1". The stretch from base 1 to 106 matches the Rfam family "5.8S ribosomal RNA", at positions 50 to 154 of the family's 154-position model. Lineage: Eukaryota; Fungi; Ascomycota; Dothideomycetes; Mycosphaerellales; Mycosphaerellaceae. The record is from RNAcentral.
GAAAUGCGAUAAGUAAUGCGAAUUGCAGAAUUUCAGUGAGUCAUCGAAUCUUUGAACGCACAUUGCGCCCCCUGGUAUUCCGGGGGGCAUGCCUGUCCGAGCGUCAUUACACCAAUCAAGCCUGGCUUGGUAUUGGGCGUCGCGGGUCUCUGACCCGCGCGCCUUAAAGUCUCACCGGCUGAGCGGCGUCGUCUCUAAGCGUUGUGGAAACUAUUCGCGGAGAGGAGGCGCGGCGUGGCCGUUAAAUACCCCAUCAAAGGUUGACCUCGGAUCAGGUAGGGAUACCCGCUGAACUUAA